GCUAAAAUGGCUCAAUUGGGAGAGUGUUGGACUGCGUAUCUAAAGGUCCCUGGUUCAAGCCUGGGUUUUGGCA
RNAcentral lists this transfer RNA (73 nucleotides) under Perca flavescens (yellow perch). It matches the Rfam family "tRNA". From Rfam's summary of the family: Transfer RNA (tRNA) molecules are approximately 80 nucleotides in length. Their secondary structure includes four short double-helical elements and three loops (D, anti-codon, and T loops). Further hydrogen bonds mediate the characteristic L-shaped molecular structure. tRNAs have two regions of fundamental functional importance: the anti-codon, which is responsible for specific mRNA codon recognition, and the 3' end, to which the tRNAs corresponding amino acid is attached (by aminoacyl-tRNA synthetases). tRNAs cope with the degeneracy of the genetic code in two manners: having more than one tRNA (with a specific anti-codon) for a particular amino acid; and 'wobble' base-pairing, i.e. permitting non-standard base-pairing at the 3rd anti-codon position. Lineage: Eukaryota; Metazoa; Chordata; Actinopteri; Perciformes; Percidae. The record is from Rfam by way of RNAcentral.